This is a long non-coding RNA of Gadus chalcogrammus (walleye pollock), 4244 nucleotides long. RefSeq lists it as uncharacterized. The record is from RefSeq and is a predicted model, not a curated record. NCBI's taxonomy places the organism in Eukaryota, Metazoa, Chordata, Actinopteri, Gadiformes, Gadidae. The transcript is spliced from 3 exons.
CAUGAGGAAGGUGAACAAGAUGGAUACCCUCAACAAAGACAGGAAGAGAGACUUAUUCCCCCCCUUGUGGUGUCUAGUCCUGCAAGAGAUGUAUACAGAGAAGUCAGACAGUCGGCCAGAGAGAGAAGACCAAGACAGUUAUUUACAUAUGAUACACUUGGCCAACCCUCUCUACAUGCUUACAUAGACACAGUCUCCACUUGCACUACACCAUCCCACAUACCUGCUCUUAGUAUGCCACACUACUUCCGACCAUUGUUCUCAUCUUUGCCCUACAAAUCACCUAUGUACAUGCCAUACACAUAUUACAUGCCAUACACCACACCUGUAUACCAAUGGGGAAAUAGAAGGUUUUGAGGUAUUUGAAAUGUCAGGGGCCAUUUUUAUUUUGUCGGGGAGUGUGUGAUGCCCACUAAUGUGUGCCCAUAUUUGUUUACGUUAAGUUUUUAUAUGCUGCACCAUUUUAUAUUAUUAAGACACUUUAUUUCCUACUAAAUUGAUUUUAUUUUGUAUGAGCAAUAUCUUUUAUAGUUUUACAUUUUUACAAUGCAAGUGCACUAUCCUGCCAGUAGGAGGCACAGUAAUAUUGUGGUUUGCCUGAAUCCCCGUGAGAUCCUCAUAACUAAUGAGGAUCUGAAAAGACAAGCCACGUCUCCCGUGUCAGCAUUCUUUUCUCUUUGUUUCAGGUGGGUUAUGUGUUUAAAAUGUAAAACAAGUUCAUGUGAGUGAUUGGAGAAUGUGUAGUGUAAUGUUUUAGUAAAGUAUGAGUGUGAAAAUUAGUACAUGUGUAUGUGGCAGGUUGAGUGUUGCUCCUCCUCCACUCAGUUGAUUUCUGGUGGGCAGAUUGCAGAGUGGUUUCACCUGUAUAAGUGCUGCGCCUUCUCUGGCGCGCACACUGCUGCCUGGCACUCGUGGCGAAGACUCGGUGUGGCGUCUGUUAGUUGUUGGUUUGUUGUCGGUUGGUGUGGCGUGCUUCAGUCACUUGAAGCGUUGUUGGCCGUGUUGUUCGGGGGCGGCAUUGUGAGGGGAGUCUGGCAUCCGCUCUGUACUGUUGCCGCAGCCGGUGAUCAGUUUCGGGGGCGUAAAGCUCUCUUCGUUCGGCUGUUGGAGCCGCAGCGGUGCUUUUGCUUUUCUUCCUCCUCCUGUGCUCUGGUGAAGCUGCCCUGCACGGCUCUGUGACGUAGCCUACACCUGGCGAUCCCAAACGUAAACCAUCCACGGCCUCCGGUCCUGGGGCGGCCGCUCUGUCUUCGCCAGCCGCUCCGUCUUCUCCAUCCACUCCGUCGUCUUCAUCAUCUUCGGCUGCUCCGGCACCGUUGCCUUUUUCCACACAGUCCGAUGUGGCGGUUGCAUUCCCACGCAGCGCUAAGUUUUCAGUCCCACCACAACUCUUAUUGGUUUGGUUAAUUGUCUGCUUUUCCUUUCAUCUUUUUGUGUUUUGUGUUCUUUAGUUUAUUUGUUUGGGUUAAAUCCUAUACAUACAUAUAUUUUUGUGUUGCGUUUUGUUGACCCAUUUGGGGUUAAGCAUAUCAAUAUUUUCUUAUUAUUUCUGAUCUAUUGCUUUGGGGUUUAACUGAUUAUUUUCUGUUUAGUUUAACAUAGCUGUUGGGUUUGUGUUUGGGGUGUUAAAUACGCCUGGCCCCCACCCAGAGUUACAUUUCGUUUGUUUCCUUAUUACUUGUCUUAAGAAUUAGUUGGGUUUCUGUAUAUUUGUAUUUGGGUUUAAAUAUUUGGUUAUGAGUCAGUUCUGUUCCUGUGUCUGGGUGUGAGUGCUGUGUGUGUGUAUGUGUGUGUUUUAUUAUAGUCCUCUGUUUUAAAUGAUUGUCGGAACAACCUGAGUGUCUCGCCACAACAGUAGUGUAAUUUUUGUCUUUCUUUCUUGUGUUUCCAGGACAGGAGCUGGUGCAGCGGGCGGCAGGCUUGGUUUGUAGUGGUUCUUUUGUGGUUUUGAGUUGAUUUAGCCUGACCGCCUCGCUACAGCCUAGCUCUGUGCCUGUUGUAUUUAUUUCUACUUUGGGGUUUUGACUUGACACUUCAGUGGUUGUUGAGAUCCCUGAGCUCUUUUAAUUCUGCUUACUGUAAAUAAAUAAAAUUAUAUACUUUGUAAGUCCGUCUCUCGUCCUUUAUACAAAACGUGCAACGAAUCUGUGUGACCUCUGGUUGGCCAAAGUACAGGGCCAAUGUUGUAUUUCCUGUGGCGCAAUUCCCCAGGUGGUGUUGUCGAGCAACUUUCCCCCCCUUUCUCUCCAUUCCGCCACAUGUAGCAAGUAAGGUCCGACGCUCGCCGAGAGAUUUGUAAUGGCGGCGCCGUUUGAAGUCUUACCGUUAAGCUAGUAGCUUUAAGCUAGUACAGACCACGCUCGUCUCUACCUUUUUGUUUUAUUGUAAUAGCACCACACGUGGCUUACUUCUUGAAGUUUUGUAAAAUGUUAAAAACGGGUUAAGAAAAGUUAUUUGAAGUUCAGUAAUAAGAAAAUGUUUGAUAUAGUUUACAAGGUAGGUACUGUUAGAAAUACUAGUUCAGUAAAACCUAAUGGGUUUUAAGAACAUUAAAGAUGCACUUUGUACAAACUGUUUAUUGUAUCAGAGACAAGAUAGAUGAAAGAACAACACUGAGAAAAGGUGUGUUUUGAAUAAAGAGUAUUUUUUGUGUAUUUUGGUUUGUUUUAAGAACAUGGAAAUAUAUGUCUAAUUAGACAACAUAUGCAGUAAUAUGAUGCUGAGUUUAAAAUGCAUGGACAAUGUGAAGAUAAACAGUAACCUUCAGUAAAUUGAGAAGUUAAAUGAAUAAAUAUAACUAAUGAGGAUCUGAAAAGACAAGCCACGUCUCCCGUGUCAGCAUUCUUUUCUCUUGGUUUGUUAUCUAAAAUCUGUCCAAGGCGAUCCCACCUGGGACCCGUUACAUCAGCACUUUGAGGUGGGCUAGAGACCGAAUUUCACAUAAGUUCAGGCACUGACUGAUAUGACCAUACUUACUGUUGUACUGACUACUUGUACACAAGGAACCAUUUGAUUUUACUAUAUAGAUUUAGAGAAAAUGUCAUUUGAAAAACGUACACAUGCAUAUUCUCCCCUUUGCAAAAUUGCAUUAUGUCAGCACUUUGAAGUGAGCUAUAGACCGAAUUUCCACAUAAGUUCAGGCACUGACUGAUAUUACCACACUAACCUUUGUACCGACUACUUGUACACAAGGAACAAUUUGAUUUUACUGUAUUCACCUUAUUCUUCAACCGUUCUAUUUCCCAUGAUUCAUAGCGGGUUCAACUGACUAAACGGUUUUCUAUUUCCGGUUAAGUGUUUGUUUACAUUGCAUGAUCCUACAAGCGUCGCUUAAAGCUAGUUAUUUUAAGGCUUAAGGAAGUUAUUUUACAUAACUGAUCAUUCAAGAUGGGAAGUAGUCGGUGGCUACACACUGCCGAUGAAAUCUUAAAAGAUCAUAUCAGAGUCCCAAAUCCGUCAAAACUGACAGGUUGGGUGGAUGAGAUGAAACUAUGGCCAGGAGUUAGCCAUAUUGAUAUAAUCAAUUAUUUUGUCUUUUCUGAGGGUGGAGAUCGUGAGGAGAUGCGUAAUUAUAAAAGUACUGAGGCCUUCAAUUACUUCCAUAGCAAUAAAGUCGGGCGCAUUUUUUUAUGUAAGCACGAAGACUAUGUGUUUUUGAAGGCAGAGGUCGACAGGAGCCAAAGUGCUAACCAUAAGGUUAUAGCUUGGGUUAUGCUUCAGCCGUCGGGGUUGAUAGAGACUGUCGGGUGCUCAUGUAUGGCUGGAUUAGGGAGAUCGUGCUGCAGUCAUGCCGCAGCAAUCCUUUGGAAGGUAUGAAGAAGAAAAAAAAUCCUUUGUUUAUCUGUGAAUUAAUAAAAGUAACGUGAUCAUAUCACUUUUUAUGAGUGUUUUUUCGAUUCAGUUCAGCUAGGUGAGGAUGACAACAUUUGAAACAAAUGGCAAAUGGGUAUAAUGUUCUGUUAAUGUGCUGAAAAAAGACUGAGGGACAUAAACUUCAGCCACCACAGGGCAGGAGAUGAAUUUGGUAUAAGGGUGUCCGGUGCUCAGCCACUACCAAACAACCCACAAUAUAUGUCACAUGCCGAAUUCUUGACUAAUGUAGACAAAGACCCAACAAAGCCACUUUUCCAGUUAAAAAACAGUCUGUUGGGCAAGUGUUACAGAGCCAAACCAGCAGUGCAACCCUGUAGCCUUGCACAUACUGCAGUAGAUGCAAGAUUUUUAAGACCUCAUCAAACCCAUGC